RNAcentral lists this ribosomal RNA (490 nucleotides) under uncultured bacterium. RNAcentral's name for it is "partial 16S ribosomal RNA". It matches the Rfam family "Bacterial small subunit ribosomal RNA", at positions 28 to 507 of the family's 1533-position model. The record is from RNAcentral.
GAUGAACGCUAGCUACAGGCUUAACACAUGCAAGUCGCGGGGCAGCAUGGGGGUUGCUUGCAAUCCCCGAUGGCGACCGGCGCACGGGUGAGUAACGCGUAUCCAACCUGCCCUUCACCACGGGAUAACCCGGCGAAAGUCGGACUAAUACCGUAUGUUGUCCAUUGACGGCAUCCGAUUUGGACGAAAGGUUUGGCGGUGAAGGAUGGGGAUGCGUCCGAUUAGCUGGACGGCGGGGUGACGGCCCACCGUGGCGACGAUCGGUAGGGGUUCUGAGAGGAAGCUCCCCCACACUGGAACUGAGACACGGUCCAGACUCCUACGGGGGGCAGCAGUGAGGAAUAUUAGUCAAUGGGCGUAAGCCUGAACCAGCCAAGUAGCGUGCAGGAUGACGGCCCUAUGGGUUGUAAACUGCUUUUAUGCGGGGAUAAAGUGGCCCACGUGUGGGUUUUUGCAGGUACCGCAUGAAUAAGGACCGGCUAAUUCCGUG